Molecule: long non-coding RNA, 1389 nt
Filed under: Anas platyrhynchos platyrhynchos (common mallard)
Lineage: Eukaryota; Metazoa; Chordata; Aves; Anseriformes; Anatidae
Description: lncRNA (ENSAPLG00000026685.1)
Source: RNAcentral
CUUGGCAGCAACUGUGUUCCUUUAGAGCAAGCGCCGGCCUGAAUCCUGCAAUGGAUGGUGCUGGGCCAUGGGUGCUGGGUGCUGAGCUUCUGGCAGCCUGAUGAGGCGCCUCAUCCUACACCGCUGCAUCCCACAGCACCUGCACCGGGGAGCAAUCGAUAUCUCUAAAUGCAUUAGGUGCUUCUCAGCUGCACCAGCACCAAGCCUCAGCAAACGCCGCUCUUAUUCCCUGCUGCCGAUGCUGGCCCAGGCAGAGCUCCCCAAGGAACACAAAACUCUGAAUAACAAACAGCGUGAGCAAAACCAACUCGCCGUUUUGUGAUGCCUCCCACGCCGCCGUGUCUCACAGUGCCUCACAAAGUGUUUCAUUGCGUGUUAGCAUUGGAAAAAACUCUGCAUUUUGCUGCGUGCCAAGGCACCGAACUUUGCAGGUGGGCUUCCAGCGAGCCGGACAGGAGCCAGGUGCAGAGCAGGGACUGUCCCCCCACAGGGGACACAGAGGCUACGUCCCAGGAACAGGAAUUAACUGUGCACACACAAAGAGUUUUAAACUGGAGCUUGCAACAGAUACUUUGCUGCUGGCUGCAAGGCAUUGUCUUCAUCACCACCACCUGGUCUGUGGCCACCACCAGCCACCCCCAGCCACCACCAGCCACCCUCGGCCACCACCAGCCACCCUCGGCCACCACCAGCCACCACCAGCCACCACCAGCCACCACUGGCCACCACCAGUCACCACCAGUCACCGCCGGUGCCUUUCUGGGGAGACGAGCACAUUUCUGGUCCCGUAAGCCCCGCAGCUGCGGUGAAGAUGUUUAUUUGUGCUGUGGUGGCACUACAACCCCCAGCUAUGUACCAGGAUCCAAUUAUGUCAAGUACUCGCUGAUUUAACGAGGCAUUCUGGAGGCGGGGGCGGGCAGACGGCUGCGGAAAGCUGCUGCACUCGUUGCAGAAGACGAGGCUCUGGGGGACUUGUGCUGGGCGAACUCAGAGCAGGGGGAGGCCGGGACCUCCUGCUGCCAGCUCAUUGCCCCUCGCCCCUCCAGGAGCAGCCCUGGAGCAUUUAUGGUGCUGCUGCACCAAGGGGAUGGAGCUGGCACCCAAAGGUGCUCGUGUUCCCUCCCAGCAGUCUCCCAGCACACAGGAGCAGAGGCAGGUCCGUGGGUCUCCAACAACCAUCAUCUCCUGGCUGGUCAGGAAAGAACCUUCAAAAAAUAAUUGAGCGAAAUCUGAAGCUUCCAAAUGCUUUUGUUUGCUUUUUUAUAAGAAAUCCUUAUUCCAUGCACUUCUGGCAUCAGGAGCUCUAGCAAAAGUCAAUGGCUGCAGCUGUUAGGGAGCAGAAAUACACUUUACAUGCAAAAUAUUGACACGCACUAUUGAAGGACGGCG